This is a long non-coding RNA of Cervus elaphus (red deer), 153 nucleotides long. RefSeq lists it as uncharacterized. The record is from RefSeq and is a predicted model, not a curated record. The transcript is spliced from 3 exons. NCBI's taxonomy places the organism in Eukaryota, Metazoa, Chordata, Mammalia, Artiodactyla, Cervidae.
GGGACAGGAAAGGACUGGAAGAGGGGGCGGGUCUGGGCAGGGGCGUCGGGGUCGCUAGUUCCCUGGGGUCCUGCCCCCCAGAGUCCCGGGUGGUCCCCUCGCCUCUCCCCGCAGAGGUCGUUCCCUCCCGACCCCACACUCACCAGCCCGGGU